This 372-nucleotide ribosomal RNA is filed under the name uncultured organism. RNAcentral describes it as "bacterial SSU rRNA". It matches the Rfam family "Bacterial small subunit ribosomal RNA", at positions 526 to 896 of the family's 1533-position model. The record is from RNAcentral.
CAGAGGUCCCGAGCGUUGUUCGGAUUCACUGGGCGUAAAGGGUGCGUAGGUGGCAUGGCCAGUUUGAUGUGAAAGCUCAGGGCUUAACCCUGAAAUGGCAUUGAAUACUGCUGUGCUGGAGGUUUGGAGGGGGGACUGGAAUUCUUGGUGUAGCAGUGAAAUGCGUAGAUAUCAAGAGGAACACCAGUGGCGAAGGCGAGUCCCUGGACAACACCUGACACUGAGGCACGAAAGCCGGGGGAGCAAACAGGAUUAGAUACCCUGGUAGUCCCGGCCCUAAACGGUGCGUGUUUGCUGUAGGAGGAAUCGACCCCUUCUGUGGCGAAGCUAACGCGUUAAACACGCCGCCUGGGGAGUACGGUCGCAAGAUUA